UCCUGGUUAGCUCAGUUGGUAGAGCGCGCCACUGGAAAUAGAGAGGUACCCGGUUCGACACUAGGACCAGGUG
Molecule: transfer RNA, 73 nt
Filed under: Ixodes scapularis (black-legged tick)
Lineage: Eukaryota; Metazoa; Arthropoda; Arachnida; Ixodida; Ixodidae
Description: tRNA-Ser for anticodon GGA
Rfam family: tRNA
About the family: Transfer RNA (tRNA) molecules are approximately 80 nucleotides in length.
Source: RNAcentral